Molecule: transfer RNA, 67 nt
Filed under: Homoeoxipha nigripes
Lineage: Eukaryota; Metazoa; Arthropoda; Insecta; Orthoptera; Trigonidiidae
Description: tRNA-Ser
Rfam family: tRNA
About the family: Transfer RNA (tRNA) molecules are approximately 80 nucleotides in length. Their secondary structure includes four short double-helical elements and three loops (D, anti-codon, and T loops).
Source: RNAcentral
AGUUAAUUAGCUUAAAAAGCAUUUGUUUUGAAAACAAAAGAUAGAAUUUUGUAUUUUCUAUUAACUU